AAUCCAUGCAUCAGACACUUCCGAAUUAAGCCUUUAAAUACCUGUCAAGCUUCAUAUAGUGUUUCAUCAUCCAAUUAUCGAAAAGUUGUGAUGUCAUUUCUAAGCUU
Gossypium raimondii (Peruvian cotton) is the source of this 107-nucleotide small nucleolar RNA. It matches the Rfam family "Plant small nucleolar RNA R71". From Rfam's summary of the family: R71 is a member of the C/D box family of snoRNAs containing the C (UGAUGA) and D (CUGA) box motifs. The record is from Rfam. Lineage: Eukaryota; Viridiplantae; Streptophyta; Magnoliopsida; Malvales; Malvaceae.